CUCCAUUGACUCAAAAGUUCAGACCUACAGCGAAAACUAUGCUUUUCAAGAAGGCCAUUUCCAUUUUCCCCUGUUUCAAUUUGUACCAGUGCUAAGCUAAUGAUGAUGUUCACUUACCAAUAAACAAAGUCAGAUCACAAACAAUCACGGCCCAAAAAUUUCUUGACUAAAAGACUAGGAUUGGAUUAACCUUUAACAAACUACUUUUGCACGUUAAUUACUCUCCCCUACCAGUGUAAAUAAGCGCCCUGAAACACUGUCGAGAGGGCUAUUUUCCCCAGCUUCCAUUAGAAGUCCCAUCAUGCCAGCUGCUAGCUGUUUCCGUCAUCACUAUCUUUAUCUUUCCUUCAUUGACAAUCUUGUAUAACUGCAGAUUCUAUAAUGGGAUUCUCUCAGAGUUUUGGCAUGUAAAUAAUCCUCUGUUUUCUCUGAUAAGAGGAUUACAACAGAGUCGAAUGUCUGAUCAGAAAACAAGGCUCAUGAGUGACCAUUUAUCAAAACCAACCUCAAUUUUUGGUUUGCGGUUAUGGGUAGUUCUUGGUGUGUGUGUAGGGGCAGCCUUUGUGCUGGUUCUUUUCCUUAUUACUCUAUGGCUCGCUUCAAAGCGUUCCAAGACUAAGAGUAUUAACAAACCCAAAAUCCCAGUUGUCUCCAAAGAGAUCCAGGAAAUCAGAGUCGAACCCAUCAAACAACACAGGGCUCAAAUCCAAACCCACACGUUUCCCGACCCGGAGAUUGCCGCCGGAAAUGAAAGGCAAGCUUUGUUGCUUAUGCCUCCGGAGGAGGAGAGUCCAAUAGGAUAUCAUGGGGUUCAGAUUGAGACUGGCAAAGGGCAUUUGAUUUCCUAUCCUCGCUCUUCUGGAGAGGCGCCACGUGGCGGAGGAGGCAGCGGCUGCGGUGUUGAUCAGAUUGCUAUGGUAGGCCCUGAUGUUUCACAUUUGGGGUGGGGCCAUUGGUAUACUUUGAGAGAGCUGGAGGCAUCCACCAAUGGGUUUGCUGAUGAGAAUGUGAUCGGCGAGGGAGGGUAUGGGAUAGUCUACCACGGUGUUUUAGAGGAUAACACUCAGGUAGCUGUCAAGAACUUGCUUAAUGACAGGGGACAGGCUGAGAGGGAAUUCAAAGUUGAAGUGGAAGCCAUUGGAAGAGUCCGGCACAAAAACCUAGCAAGACUGCUUGGCUAUUGUGCUGAAGGAUCUCAUAGGAUGCUGGUGUACGAGUAUGUGAACAACGGGAACUUGGAACAGUGGCUUCAUGGGGAUGUAGGGCCUCGCAGUCCUCUUACUUGGGAAAUAAGAAUGAACAUUGUCUUGGGAACUGCAAAAGGAUUAACCUACCUUCAUGAGGGACUCGAACCAAAAAUAAUUCACCGUGAUGUAAAAUCGAGCAACAUUCUGCUUGACAAGCUGUGGAAUCCUAAAGUUUCAGACUUUGGCCUUGCCAAGCUCCUUUACUCGGAGAGCAGCUAUAUUACAACCCGUGUAAUGGGAACAUUUGGCUAUGUAGCUCCUGAGUAUGCGAGUACAGGCAUGUUGAAUGAAAGGAAUGAUGUGUAUAGCUUUGGAAUUCUUAUUAUGGAAAUUAUUUCAGGGAGGAACCCAGUUGAUUAUAGCCGGCCUCCAGAAGAGGUCAACUUAGUUGAGUGGCUUAAGAAGAAGGUCGCUGAAAGGAAUCCAGAGGGGGUAUUGGAUCCUAAGUUACCAGAGAAGCCUUCUUCAAGGGCACUAAAGAGGGCUCUUCUUGUAGCUUUACGUUGUGUGGACUCAAAUGCACAGAAGAGGCCAAAAAUGGGACAUGUUGUACAUAUGCUUGAAGCUGAUGAGUUCCCAUCGAGAGAUGAUCGCAGAGGCAGAAGAGAUCCAAGAAGCACACUAUCCGAAAAUGCUGAUGGAUCGAUGAAGAAGCCUGUAACAAAAUCAGGUGACAGAGCUAGUGCAAGAAACAAAAGCACUGAAGAGAUUUAACUGAACAGGUUCCCAGUGGAUUGCAAAUAUUGUAUUGCCUGCUGCAGCUCCAUUUAGAUUGGCUGGCCUACUCUAUAGUGAAGUGACUUUGUGGCCAUCACACAUAGACAUACUAAUGUAUCAUCCUUCAUUGCAAGAUUGAAGUCAAGGCUCCUGUGGUUGGGAACUGUUGUCCCUGGGAGCUCUGAGCAAAAGUUGUGCCAUGUAAUUCAUAGUUGCAUUGCUGCUCAAUUCAUAGUUAAAUAAAACCUGUCAUAUAUUAUAAGUUCAGAUUUUAGAUAAUUUAUGUUAAACUUGACUCGGUGGUAUUAGA
This 2274-nucleotide unclassified non-coding RNA is filed under the name Hevea brasiliensis (rubber tree). The record is from RNAcentral. Lineage: Eukaryota; Viridiplantae; Streptophyta; Magnoliopsida; Malpighiales; Euphorbiaceae.